Small nucleolar RNA from Arvicanthis niloticus (Nile rat), 129 nucleotides. RefSeq annotates it as small nucleolar RNA SNORA17. Lineage: Eukaryota; Metazoa; Chordata; Mammalia; Rodentia; Muridae. The record is from RefSeq and is a predicted model, not a curated record.
CCUGCCCCUAGAGGCGUUGCAGGUGUGGCUGCUGUGUCACAUGUGCGUCAGAAGGUGGCAGAGAGGACAGAGGCUAUAUCUACACUCUGUUCUGACCUGCGAGCAUCUGAAUGUCAGUAGUCUAACAUA